RNAcentral lists this ribosomal RNA (440 nucleotides) under uncultured bacterium. RNAcentral describes it as "partial 16S ribosomal RNA". It matches the Rfam family "Bacterial small subunit ribosomal RNA", at positions 338 to 795 of the family's 1533-position model. The record is from RNAcentral.
CCUACGGGUGGCAGCAGUAGGGAAUAUUGCUCAAUGGGGGAAACCCUGAAGCAGCAACGCCGCGUGAAGGAUGACGGAUUUCGGUGUGUAAAACUCUUUUGAUAGGGAAGAAAAUGACGGUACCUAACGAAUAAGCACCGGCUAACUACGUGCCAGCAGCCGCGGUAAUACGUAGGCAGCAAGCGUUAUCCGGAUUUACUGGGUGUAAAGGGGGCGUAGGCGGGGUUGCAGGUCAGAUGUGAAAGCCUGGGGCUCAACCGUAGAACUGCAGUUGAAACUGUUAGACUGGAGUUCAGGAGAGGUAGGCGGAAUUCUUGGUGUAGCGGUGAAAUGCGUAGAGAUCACGAGGAACACCAAUUGCGAAGGCGGCUUACUGGACUGUAACUGACGCUGAGGCUCGAAAGUGUGGGGAGCAAACAGGAUUAGAUACCCGAGUAGUC